This 68-nucleotide transfer RNA is filed under the name Tridrepana unispina. RNAcentral's name for it is "partial tRNA-Leu". Lineage: Eukaryota; Metazoa; Arthropoda; Insecta; Lepidoptera; Drepanidae. The record is from RNAcentral.
CUAUUUUGGCAGAAAAGAUGUGGUGGUUUUAGAAAUCAUUAAUAUAUAAAUUAUUUAUAUAUGUAGUA